UACGUAGGGGGCAAGCGUUGUCCGGAAUUAUUGGGCGUAAAGCGCGCGUAGGCGGUCCGAUAAGUCGGCUGUGAAAGUCAAGGGCUCAACCCUUGGAAGCCGGCCGAUACUGUCAGACUAGAGUCCGGAAGAGGCGAGUGGAAUUCCCGGUGUAGCGGUGAAAUGCGCAGAUAUCGGGAGGAACACCAAUUGCGAAGGCAGCUCGCUGGGACGGUACUGACGCUGAGACGCGAAAGCGUGGGGAGCGAACAGG
This 253-nucleotide ribosomal RNA is filed under the name uncultured bacterium. RNAcentral describes it as "partial 16S ribosomal RNA". It matches the Rfam family "Bacterial small subunit ribosomal RNA", at positions 524 to 776 of the family's 1533-position model. The record is from RNAcentral.